This 24-nucleotide non-coding RNA is filed under the name Anguilla japonica (Japanese eel). RNAcentral also lists the same sequence under 1 other name. The record is from RNAcentral. Lineage: Eukaryota; Metazoa; Chordata; Actinopteri; Anguilliformes; Anguillidae.
GGUGAAGCUGCGGAAGGAUCAUUA